GUGAAGCGGCAACAGCUCAAAUUUGAAAUCUGGCCUCCUCGAGGUCCGAGUUGUAAUUUGUAGAGGGUGCUUCGGGUGCGAUGCCGGUUUAAGUUCCUUGGAACAGGACGUCGUAGAGGGUGAGAAUCCCGUAUGCGACCGGCGAUCAAGCCCGUGCGAAGCCCCUUCGACGAGUCGAGUUGUUUGGGAAUGCAGCUCAAAAUGGGUGGUAAAUUUCAUCUAAAGCUAAAUAUUGGCCAGAGACCGAUAGCGGACAAGUAGAGUGAUCGAAAGAUGAAAAGCACUUUGGAAAGAGAGUCAAACAGUACGUGAAAUUGUUGAAAGGGAAGCGCUUGCAAUCAGACCGGUCCGGAGGCGAUCAGCCGCUGCUCGUCAGCGGUGCACUCGCCUGCGAUCCGGCCAGCAUCGGUUUGGGCGGCGGGAUAAAAGUCCCGGGAAUGUAGCUUCUCCCGGGGAGUCUUAUAGCCCGGGUCGCAAUGCCGCCCGCCCGGACCGAGGACCGCG
This 504-nucleotide ribosomal RNA is filed under the name Sticta impressula. RNAcentral describes it as "eukaryotic LSU rRNA". It matches the Rfam family "Eukaryotic large subunit ribosomal RNA", at positions 93 to 599 of the family's 3401-position model. Lineage: Eukaryota; Fungi; Ascomycota; Lecanoromycetes; Peltigerales; Lobariaceae. The record is from RNAcentral.